This 59-nucleotide microRNA precursor is filed under the name Echinops telfairi (small Madagascar hedgehog). Its description in RNAcentral is "Ete-Mir-30-P2a_pre stem-loop". It matches the Rfam family "mir-30 microRNA precursor family", at positions 1 to 60 of the family's 77-position model. From Rfam's summary of the family: This family consists of the mammalian microRNA (miRNA) precursor mir-30a. The record is from RNAcentral. Lineage: Eukaryota; Metazoa; Chordata; Mammalia; Afrosoricida; Tenrecidae.
UGUAAACAUCCUACACUCAGCUGUCGGGCACGGAGGGCUGGGAGGCGGAUGUUUACGUC